AGAAUCAACGCUGGCGGCGUGCCUAACACAUGCAAGUCGAACGAGAAAGUGGAGCAAUCCAUGAGUACAGUGGCGCACGGGUGAGUAACACGUGACUAACCUACCCUCGAGUGGGGAAUAACCUCGGGAAACCGGGCUAAUACCGCAUAACAUCCACGGAUCAAAAUGCGUAAGCAGCUUGAGGAGGGGGUCGCGGCUGAUUAGCUAGUUGGCGGGUAAUGGCCCACCAAGGCAGUGAUCAGUA
RNAcentral lists this ribosomal RNA (244 nucleotides) under uncultured bacterium. RNAcentral's name for it is "partial small subunit ribosomal RNA". It matches the Rfam family "Bacterial small subunit ribosomal RNA", at positions 26 to 285 of the family's 1533-position model. The record is from RNAcentral.